UCUUCUCAAACAUGAUGCACGGCGUUGCCGGUGGCCAUGGGUACCCUCACCAGGGAUACCCUCCGCAGGGCUACCCACCACCACAAGGAGCAUACCCACCUCCCCCAGGGGCGUAUCCUCCUCCUCCACCAGGGGCAUACCCACCUCCACCUGGGGCAUACCCACCACAACAUGGGUACCCUCAGCCAGGUGGCUACCCACCGCAAGGUGGAUAUCCUCCUGCAGGCUACCCAGGCUCAUCUCACCAGGGUAUGAUACUACAGUUAAUAUACUACAGAGGAGUUUAGAGAUUGUUUUGGUUUGCUCUGUUGUAUUGCUUUUUAUUGUUCAGAUUCAGAACUCGUACACCUUAACUAACAUUUGUAUCCUGAUCAUGUUGGAAAUUGGUAGUAGUUCUAUUUUGUUGAUUCAGUCAAAUGACAAUAGAUAGCUAAGCAUUCCUUUCACAAAAGAAGUGGUCAUGAGAAUAGCUAAUUCGUCCAACUCUAGCAAAUACUCAUUUUCUAUUUACAAAUUAUUGAAACACUUUAUAUACUACACUCAGGUGUUGAGAUUGUUUUGGAUUGCUUUGUUGUAUUGUUAUAUACAUUUUAUUUUUCAGAUUUAAAACUGUACUACCUCAUACAGCUGCACUAACAUUUAUAUAUACAUUUUAUUGUUGUAAUGUUGGAAAUUGGUAUUUCUGUUCUGCUGAUCCAGUCAAACGUUGAAUCUCAGUUCAUGCUAAUGUCUCUUGUGAUUUCAGGUUAUGGGAGCAGCCAUGGCGGGAGCCACAUGGGGAUGGGGACAGUUCUAGCUGGAGGUGCUGCCGCCGCCGCAGCUGCUUAUG
This 829-nucleotide long non-coding RNA is filed under the name Sorghum bicolor (sorghum). RNAcentral's name for it is "long non-coding RNA (SBIC_LNC015308)". The record is from RNAcentral. Lineage: Eukaryota; Viridiplantae; Streptophyta; Magnoliopsida; Poales; Poaceae.